AUACAGAGGGUGCGAGCGUUAAUCGGAAUUACUGGGCGUAAAGCGCGCGUAGGCGGUUUGUUAAGUUGGAUGUGAAAGCCCCGGGCUCAACCUGGGAACUGCAUUCAAAACUGGCAGGCUAGAGUAUGGUAGAGGGAAGUGGAAUUCCGGGUGUAGCGGUGAAAUGCGUAGAUAUCCGGAGGAACAUCAGUGGCGAAGGCGGCUUCCUGGACCAAUACUGACGCUGAGGUGCGAAAGCGUGGGGAGCAAACAGGAUUAGAAACCCCGGUAGUCC
Molecule: ribosomal RNA, 274 nt
Filed under: uncultured bacterium
Lineage: Bacteria
Description: partial 16S ribosomal RNA
Rfam family: Bacterial small subunit ribosomal RNA
Source: RNAcentral